GAACGCGGCUUUCACAUUAGAAUUAGUAAACCCUUACAAACAAAACAAGGAACAAAAUUUGAGGCUUCCAAAAGCAACAGAGGAAAGAAACAUAUUCAAAUAAAACCACAAAAUGUAGAUUGUAGCCAAACAAAAGCACGAAGAAAGGCAUCACAACAAUGCAUUACAGAUUAUGAGUAAAACAACAAAAAUUGAGAGCACCCAAUAGGAA
RNAcentral lists this unclassified non-coding RNA (211 nucleotides) under Hevea brasiliensis (rubber tree). The record is from RNAcentral. Lineage: Eukaryota; Viridiplantae; Streptophyta; Magnoliopsida; Malpighiales; Euphorbiaceae.